UACGAACGCUGGCGGCGUGCUUAACACAUGCAAGUCGAACGGAAAGGCCCUGCUUUUGUGGGGUGCUCGAGUGGCGAACGGGUGAGUAACACGUGAGUAACCUGCCCUUGACUUUGGGAUAACUUCAGGAAACUGGGGCUAAUACCGGAUAGGAGCUCCUGCUGCAUGGUGGGGGUUGGAAAGUUUCGGCGGUUGGGGAUGGACUCGCGACUUAUCAGCUUGUUGGUGGGGUAGUGGCUUACCAAGGCUUUGACGGGUAGCCGGCCUGAGAGGGUGACCGGCCACAUUGGGACUGAGAUACGGCCCAGACUCCUACGGGAGGCAGCAGUGGGGAAUAUUGCACAAUGGGCGGAAGCCUGAUGCAGCAACGCCGCGUGCGGGAUGACGGCCUUCGGGUUGUAAACCGCUUUCGCCUGUGACGAAGCGUGAGUGACGGUAAUGGGUAAAGAAGCACCGGCUAACUACGUG
RNAcentral lists this ribosomal RNA (468 nucleotides) under uncultured bacterium. RNAcentral describes it as "partial 16S ribosomal RNA". It matches the Rfam family "Bacterial small subunit ribosomal RNA", at positions 29 to 507 of the family's 1533-position model. The record is from RNAcentral.